UUCCGGUCUUGACGUCAUCACUUCCUGGCUGGCUCUGUUUUUCGAACCGCGAUAAGAUCCGACUUCAGCGGGGAAACCUUUACGGGAAGACACGAUUUGCCGCGGCUUUUGGCGCCAUUUCUGAACAUUUUCUACACCGUCGUGCAGUCUGGACUCAGACUGUACUUCAAAGUGACCUUUGACCCCCUGUGCUGACACACACCUGCCUUAGUUUUCCCAGCAUGCACAGUGGUAACCAUGGCAACCUACAGCAGACCAAUGUGCCAGAUUACCAAACAGUCCAUAAUGACUUUGUAGAAUUGCCCAGGUCAGGAGCAAAGGGUGAGUGAACAGUCUUAAUGCUUCC
This is a long non-coding RNA of Branchiostoma belcheri (Belcher's lancelet), 346 nucleotides long. RefSeq lists it as uncharacterized. The transcript has 3 exons. The record is from RefSeq and is a predicted model, not a curated record. NCBI's taxonomy places the organism in Eukaryota, Metazoa, Chordata, Leptocardii, Amphioxiformes, Branchiostomatidae.